UUGCUAAUGGAGCCAUUUGAAUUCAAGGAGUUUCCAGUCCGAAUCUAUCAGUGCAUUGGAGAUGUUGCAGGGUUGCUUUGUUUGUUUUUCAGCCCCGGCACCAGGAGUCCAAAGGACCUACAAGAAGCCUAGAGAUUUUUUAAUUCCUGGUUCAGCGUUUCUUGAUUCUUUGUGCUUCUUGGGACCAGAGCACCUGAACAUGUGUGUCCUGGUAGAAGCUCUUCUUUAGGCACUGUCCAGCAGUGAAGUCAUCAUCCUGUAUUAUGACAUCAUACCUUGUUGCCACGGAUAUGAUUGCUGUAAUAAAUUCAACCUUAUGACUUUAAAGAAAAAAAUGAUGUGAAUUUAGUGCUGUUGAAAGGCCCUGGAUUAAAAGCCUUGGAAAUUAAAGCCUGCCAUAUAACCACAGAAGAUCUCAACCAUCUCUUGGAGGGACCAGCUCUGCGGGUUGGAGGGAAGUUCAGUGUCCCUGGCCCCAUUCAUUCCUUGGCCUCUGUUGACGCUGCCAAGUAGUGUCAGGUGUGACAAUGGUUUAUGUGACGUGAACAACAAUUCAGACAUAUUGCAGGACAGGUUGCAGGAUUAGGUGGGAGAAGAUGACGGAGAAAAUGUGUCUGUUUAUGUACAAACCUUGUGGAUUAUUAGCAAUAGUGACAACUAUAUAAAUAACACACGGUUGUCACUGCAAAAGGAUCUGUGACUUUAAGCACAAUCUGUAAAGGAUUAACAGUUUCCCUCUAAUGCCAAAAAUCUGAUGAAUCUAUGGACUAUAGAAGGGGAAAAAAACAAUAUUCAGAUCAGAACAAGGAUUCUUUACCCAAUUGCGGGGGGAGAGGGGGUGCAUGCAUGCAACGUGCAUGGUUUUUUGUAAUUCAUCUUAAUCAAUCCAUUGAUCCCUUGAUUUUUAAUUCUGCUAGCUCUGAUUUCUUGUCUAUACUUUGACACUGAAAGUACUUUAGGAAAGUCUGAGACGCACUGAAUUACAAACCAAGGCGAGAACUGGAAAAUCGUAAAUCUAACAGGGCUGCCAUUAUAAUGUAAUCAGGAUUCUAAAAAAGAUUACAUUGAUGGAAAAAACAUUCCUAGACCUUUCCUGAUGAUGUUGGAUAGUUUUCCCUACUCUGUUUUGCCUCUGGUUCUGUGUGAGAUUAAUAUAGUUUCUUUUAAAAUCUAUUUUCUUCCCAUUCAUGCAUAUGACCCCACAGACUGUAAACCUGAUUCUCCUCUCCCAGCAGUGUGAAUGAGGAGUAACUCCAGCAAAGCCAAUGGUGCGAAACUGCCGAUGAGCUCAGACUCGGAUCCUGGGCAUUGUACUUGAAUCAAGGCAUUCCAAUUGACAUAAAAUUAGUUCCCUUGACGACAAGUACUCUAUUGAAAGGGAAAUGGACAAGGCAUCAGGUCCCAAAUGUGUGUUCUAAUCUCAUUAGCAAGAGGUCCGCAGAUUCCAGACUAGAAAGAAAGUUUGCUUCUAUAAUUGCCUUUCAUUCAAAGCAUUUUACAGACAUUGAUUAAUUAAGCAUCAAAAUCCCUUUCCCAAUGAGGAAAGUAUGACCCCAUUUUACAGAAUGGUCAGUCCAGACAGAGAGGUGUGAAGGGACUUUUCCUCUCAAAAGUUACCUCUCCAUCACUGGGAAAUGGAAAGAAAAAUGCCUAUUUUUGUAGGGCUUACAAAAAUCAUGGUGCUUUGUGGUCCCCCUGCUGGCCGCGCAGCAUCAUUUCACCACAGCAUUGCCACAGCCGCACUGGCCUCACAUGGGCUCCUGAUGCACAAAGAAAGACACUUGCUUGGCAUCCAACUGAGGUGGUUGUUAAACAAAAACAACAUUAACUUCAGUUCCCCUGAAAACAAUGGGGAGGAAAAUCCACAUCUGCCAAAUGUAAAAUGAUAAAAAUCAGCUGGCAAAGCCAUUGUUGUUCAAGCUGCCAAGCGGGUAUUACAAAUCAGGGAGAUGAAAACACAUUGAAAACUGGUAGAAAUGAAAUAGAAUGACUUGGCCCUAGGCUAUGGUGUUGCAGAGAACCUCUGGAAUGAAUGUAAUCCCAUUUGUCAUGUGAGUUUAAUUUUCUUUAUUAAUCAGUUAGACAUUAUCAUUAAUAAAUAUAAUAUCUGCUGUAUCCAACUUGCCAUCUUAAUGUGAAUUUCCACAAACUUUAGGUGAAGCAGGAGGCCUGCUUAUUAUUAAUACUGAGCCUUCUCCUGCUACACUCACUCACACCAACUAGUAACUUACACCAAGUAGUAACUUAAUUGAUUUCAACAGGGCUACUCACGGAUUCAAAUACUAUGCAACUUGAGUAAAGAGUGGUAGAAUAGGGCCCCUUGUACUAGUACUGAAAACAUGCUAGAUGCUGUUCAAAGCAGAGCUUAAUUCUCGGUCACGCUGUACCUUGUACAGUCCAUUUACAUCUGAGCAAAGUGGGUGUAAAACACGACCGGUUUAAUUCAGUAGCCGUUAACACCCAUUUUGCACUGAUUUAUAUAACUACCCAAGGUGCAGGGCAUCAGUGAAUCAGGCCUAUGUUCCCCUAGAGUGGCCUAGUUGUAUAACUGUAGUAAAAUAUAUGGUAUUGAACUGAAUAGUUUAAAAAGUAGCGAGAAUCCAGGCCAAUUUUAAGCCAACUGGUGACGUACAAAAUGGCAUGCAGACUCAGGAUGUGGGAAACGUAUGACUGAAUUAAUAGGUUUCUAAUGUUGGAAGAUUCAAGUCCAUCUUCCAGUGAGAUAAUUAUAAACAAAUAAAAAACCCCACUCAUCACCGCCAUUGGAAGACACUUGUUUUUGCUUUGCAGUCCAACUUCUUUAUAAUAUCAUUGCUUGCCACACAGCGGCAAAAACUCCAGAUUUAGGCUGCACCAGGGAUGAAAUUAAUCUGGUCCUUGCCCGUGUGUGACACCAGGACAUGCCCCAUCAGUAGGCUAGAAAGCAUGUUCUAGCCAGUAAAUAAUAUGGCACCGUUUAUUUUUCUCAAUGCUGAAGUUUCUCUUAAUCAAAGAGUUU
Molecule: non-coding RNA, 2998 nt
Organism: Chrysemys picta bellii (western painted turtle)
Lineage: Eukaryota; Metazoa; Chordata; Testudines; Emydidae
Source: RefSeq, a predicted model, not a curated record